RNAcentral lists this ribosomal RNA (487 nucleotides) under uncultured Gammaproteobacteria bacterium. RNAcentral describes it as "bacterial SSU rRNA". It matches the Rfam family "Bacterial small subunit ribosomal RNA", at positions 30 to 505 of the family's 1533-position model. The record is from RNAcentral. Lineage: Bacteria; Pseudomonadati; Pseudomonadota; Gammaproteobacteria.
AUUGAACGCUGGCGGCAGGCUUAACACAUGCAAGUCGAGCGGAAACGGAACUAGCUUGCUAGUAGACGUCGAGCGGCGGACGGGUGAGUAACGCGUAGGAAUGUACCCUAUAGUGGGGGAUAGCCCGGGGAAACCCGGAUUAAUACCGCAUACGUCUUCGGAUGAAAGGUGGCCUCUAUUUAUAAGCUAUUGCUAUAGGAUCAGCCUGCGUAAGAUUAGCUUGUUGGUGGGGUAAAGGCUCACCAAGGCAACGAUCUUUAGCUGGUUUGAGAGGAUGAUCAGCCACACUGGGACUGAGACACGGCCCAGACUCCUACGGGAGGCAGCAGUGGGGAAUAUUGGGCAAUGGGCGCAAGCCUGACCCAGCCAUGCCGCGUGUGUGAAGAAGGCUCUAGGGUUGUAAAGCACUUUAAGUUGUGAGGAAAAGUUGUUAGUUAAUACCUAACAGCCGUGACGUUAACAACAGAAUAAGCACCGGCUAACUCCG